Molecule: ribosomal RNA, 254 nt
Filed under: uncultured bacterium
Lineage: Bacteria
Description: partial 16S ribosomal RNA
Rfam family: Bacterial small subunit ribosomal RNA
Source: RNAcentral
UACGUAGGCAGCGAGCGUUGUUCGGAGUUACUGGGCGUAAAGGGCGUGUAGGCGGUUGUUUAAGUUUGGUGUGAAAUCUCCCGGCUCAACUGGGAGGGUGCGCCGAAUACUGAAUGACUUGGAGUGCGGGAGAGGAGAGUGGAAUUCCUGGUGUAGCGGUGAAAUGCGUAGAUAUCAGGAGGAACACCGGUGGUGUAGACGGCUCUCUGGACCGUAACUGACGCUGAGACACGAAAGCGUGGGUAGCAAGCAGG